Ipomoea nil (Japanese morning glory) is the source of this 984-nucleotide long non-coding RNA. RefSeq lists it as uncharacterized. The record is from RefSeq and is a predicted model, not a curated record. The transcript is spliced from 7 exons. NCBI's taxonomy places the organism in Eukaryota, Viridiplantae, Streptophyta, Magnoliopsida, Solanales, Convolvulaceae.
CUUCACCUCUCUAUCUACACUACCAAACCAGGCGUACAAUCUUCAUCAGCACCGCUCCGCCGUUUCCGCAAGGAAGAGCGGCUAGGUUACAGUAAAGAUCAUCCUCUAAGCCAAUGGUUCACUAAUUUCUCUGCGGCGGAUGAGCGCUUAAAACUUACAGCAGAUUAAAGAGGCCUAAGAACCUGCGUCUCUGGUUUUCCCCUCAUCUUUGCAAAAAUUGUCUCUGCUUCUAAUCCCACAAUUUUCUCUGCCUUCAUCUCUGCAAAAACCCAGUGAAAGUUUUCCAAAGGAUGCAAGCGUACAAGAGAAGAUUCAUAUCCAGGUGUGGGGUUUAGGAAUUUAAGGGUUCCUUUUCCCAUGAUUUGGUGUGUCAUAUGUAAAAUCUGAGCUGGUAGCUGGUAGGAUGCAGCAGAUUUGGGGGUGUGAGCUGUGUGGUUUUGGGUUACAAACAAACAUAGUAUAGAUAUCAAUUUAUUUAGUUUCUGGUCAACAGGACACUUAAUGAGAAAACUAUAGCAAGUGGUUUUGGUUCCAUUCACUUUCUUCUUGAUGCCUCUGAACAACAACAAUACAAACAAGCUAUUUUGGCAUAUGCAAUCCUUCUCAAAACAUAAAAUGACAAGGAAAUUAAAAUUAUGAAUUUGAGUUGCAGUAUAUAUAUAUGGCAGCAUCAAGAUUGCAAUUUGAUCUACAACAAGGGAAUUAUUGCAUAUCUAAACAUCAAAUCGGACCCGACCAGACAUCAUAUCAGACAUUCUCUCUAAGACAAAGGACUUCCAAAGUGCCGACCGCAAUAACUUUGACAAACUUGAGAAUUAUUAUCUGUCUUUAUGUGCAUAGAAUGACAUAUAUUCUCAUGUCUAGUUUGGCCAACUUAUUUAGGAACCAUUUGUAUCCCAUUACAUUCUUGUAAUUCAAUAUUGUACUAUGAAAAAUAUUGUUCUAUUUUGAAAUUUUAAUUGAUACUAAAAUAGUUUAUUUCAA